GCAGACAAACAGGGAGAAUGUGCAAACACCACACAGACAGUGGAGUCGAACCAGAGUCCAUUUAUUGACCAGCGCAUUCCAUUAAAGGGAUCUGCACUGGAACCCUUCUGUUUGCGGGACAAAUAUAUAUAAGUGACAUGGAUUAAAAUCUAAUUUGAUUUGAUGGAGAUGUGUUGAAAAUGUUUGCAGUUACUGAUCUGCUGAACCAAAAUGACUCCUUUUAAACUGAUGAUUGGACUAGAAACCUUUGAGAAAACUUGAAAAUAUUCGGUAAGGUCAACACAUCCAUGAACUAAGCAAUGAUUCCUCAUCCAACACUCACAGGAACUAUCUGAUGCCUUCUCAUUUGAAUGUUCACAGAAAUCAUUGGAUUAAUAUUCGGCAUGACAAAUGAAGAUACAUCUAAUUGUUUUAGACUCCAAUAAUUAAUGUUCAUUUCUACAUGUUACAGAUAGCAAUAUGAAGUUUCUAAUUAUUUUAAGUUCGCAGUGACCUGUUUUGAGACAAAUUUUUCCUUAUAUCUAAUAUUUAAUCAUUGUUGAAAUCCAGUAUAUUUGGCUUUAAGUGUGGAAUUAAGUCUCAGUGACGUAGGCAUAUUGCACGGUAUUGUUCCCUAAUGGUAGCGAAUGCAGAUUUGUAUUUUAAUACUGAAAUCCUGGUUGAUUCGCUGUUGUAGGGGUGCCCCGCCCCAUCUGGAAUAGAAUGGCCUAUGUUGGCUCAUACAAAAUGUCUGACAAACAAAAAGACGCAACCUGCCCUAGAAUUAAAACACAAGAUGGCGGAGGAGAGAUAAACUAACAGUCUGUUCCAAUCUUGAUGAAAGAAAAUAAUAUUUUGUAAAAUCCCACUCCAACUCCAUCAGUAUGCCAGUCCAGACAGUAAUAUUCCAGACAGUAAUAAGAACAUGCCAGAUACAGAAAACGACCAACCCUGACCUUCAUUAACGAAAGAAUAAUUGUCCCAGUGAAUGAAUAAACACCAGCUGCAGGAUACAGCCCAGUUAAAUGUCACAGCAGCUAUCAGGGCAACUCACAGGGUUCAUUUGUCAAAAACAGUUACUAUUUUAAA
Long non-coding RNA from Hemiscyllium ocellatum (epaulette shark), 1068 nucleotides. RefSeq lists it as uncharacterized. NCBI's taxonomy places the organism in Eukaryota, Metazoa, Chordata, Chondrichthyes, Orectolobiformes, Hemiscylliidae. The transcript is spliced from 4 exons. The record is from RefSeq and is a predicted model, not a curated record.